Small nuclear RNA from Talpa occidentalis (Iberian mole), 159 nucleotides. RefSeq annotates it as U1 spliceosomal RNA. Lineage: Eukaryota; Metazoa; Chordata; Mammalia; Eulipotyphla; Talpidae. The record is from RefSeq and is a predicted model, not a curated record. The transcript has a single exon.
AGAUUGUUCUCCCUAAGAUACCAUGAUCAUGAAGGUGGUUUUCCUGGGGCAAGGCUUACCCAUUGCACUCCGGAUGUGCUGACCCUGAAAUUACUCCAAAUAUGGGAAACUUGAUACAUAAUUUGUGCUAGUGGGGGACAGUGUUGGCGCUCUCCCCUA